CCUACGGGUGGCAGCAGUGAGGAAUAUUGGUCAAUGGGGGAAACCCUGAUGCAGCAACGCCGCGUGAGUGAAGAAGUAUUUCGGUAUGUAAAGCUCUAUCAGCCGGGAAGAGAAUGAUGGUACCUGACCAAGAAGCCCCGGCUAACUACGUGCCAGCGGCCGCGGUAAUACGUAGGGGGCGAGCGUUAUCCGGAUUUACUGGGUGUAAAGGGAGUUUAGUCGGUUCUGCAAGUCUGAAGUGAAAGCCCGUGGCUUAACCGCGGAACGGCGUUGGAAACUGUGGAACUGGAGUGCUGGAGAGGCAAGCGGAAUGCGUGGUGUAGCGGUGAAAUGCAUAGAUAUUAGGAAGAACACCGGUGGCGAAGGCAGCUUGCUGGACAGUAACUGACGUUGAGGCUCGAAAGCGUGGGGAGCAAACAGGAUUAGAUACCCGAGUAGUC
Molecule: ribosomal RNA, 440 nt
Filed under: uncultured bacterium
Lineage: Bacteria
Description: partial 16S ribosomal RNA
Rfam family: Bacterial small subunit ribosomal RNA
Source: RNAcentral